CGCCCGUCGCACCUACCGAUUGAAUGAUUCGGUGAAUUCUUCGGACUGUGGUUCGGACGCUUUCGGGCGACUGAGCUGUGGGAAGUUGUUUAAACCUCAUCAUUUAGAGGAAGGUGAAGUCGUAACAAGGUUUCC
RNAcentral lists this ribosomal RNA (135 nucleotides) under Spumella sp. RNAcentral's name for it is "partial small subunit ribosomal RNA". It matches the Rfam family "Eukaryotic small subunit ribosomal RNA", at positions 1670 to 1804 of the family's 1831-position model. Lineage: Eukaryota; Chrysophyceae; Chromulinales; Chromulinaceae. The record is from RNAcentral.